AGAUCAUAGCAGAACUUCAGACAACCAUUUCCUCCCUGAAAGAGGAGAACAGCCGGCAGCAGCUUGCUGCAGAAAGGCGGCUCCAGGAUGUUAUACAGAAGUUUGAAGAUGAGAAGAAGCAGCUGAUUAGAGAUAAUGACCGAGCAAUCAAGGCUUUGCAAGAUGAAGUAGAAAACCGCUCGAAUCAAGUGCGAUGUAUAGAGAAAAAACUACAGCACAAGGAACUGGAGUCACAGGACCAGAUAACUUACAUACGACAAGAGUAUGAAACAAAAUUGAAAGGAUUGAUGCCAGCAUCGCUAAGACAAGAACUUGAAGACACUAUCUCCUCCCUAAAGUCACAGGUUAGCUUCCUGCAGAAAAGAGCAUCCAUCCUUCAAGAGGAGCUGACAUCGUACCAGGGCAGAAGGUAACUGCAUGAAGGCUUUACCUGCGCACCAGGAGAGUGUAGUGGAGUUAACUGUCUGGGCCGCAGUGUGGAUUUCUUCCAACAGGUUUGAAGGUUUCUGUCAAGUAAUCUGUGAGAUCCAUGACAUUUUAAAAUACUUAAAUGUAAUUAAGAUCAUAAAAACAUGCAUCACUCUGCACUAAUGGGAUGGCUUCACUCGUGUCUGCCUAAGUUAUUUUUUGAACAUUCCUUUAGUUCGGAUUUUCCAUUUCCGCGUGCAUUUGAGCGUGUACUGAGAAUUGGCUCUAUCGGGAAAAGAAAGGAUUUCUCGCCGUGCCUCGUUAAUGCUUUGGCGUAGAAUUUCACCAGUUGCGUCUGAUCGGAAUCCCGUUUGUAGUAUCAUAUCAGAACUUUUAACAUGUUUACAUUGUUUUCAUGUUCAUGUUCAUGUAUUAUUAAAAUAUUAUUUUGUACUUAGCAGUUUUAUUUCUACUUUUUUUAAAAAAUACUUCUACUUUUUAUGGCAUCUCAUUUGCUCAAACAAAAUUAUAUGGUACUUUUUUUCCCUAGAAAAUACUGACAGCCUCAAAUUGUGCUAUGGGAAAAAAAAAAAAAUACCUUCUGUCAUGUCAAAGGUCAAAUCCAUAAGCAGCACAUCUACUUAGGAUAAAAACCACUGAAUCAUCUCCCGUCAGUCCAAGUACUUGUUACCACGGUCUCCAGUCUCAUCUUGGGGUCCGGAGGCAGAGCUGUGUGAGAAUUUUAUGUAGCAGCUGCGGUUUUACUGUUACUUUCUCGACCUCUGAUGUUAUGGUUGUUGUUUAGUUGUAAAAUCAAUCGAUGCUCUGUGAAAAAGCCUACCAGGUACAGAGGUGCUGGGAGGAUGCUCGGCACACUAGCAAGUGAUGGCAGAAGGAGCUUUGUUUGGUUCUAUUUUCCUGGUCCAGAGACUGUGGCCUUGACUCCCACGGAGGGACGUGCAGGUCCCCUCCCGGAUGCCAGGGAGCAGUUUUGUGCUGGUCAGUCAGCGCCCAUUUGCCGAGGACGUUGUGAAUUGCAGUGGAUGCUUGCUUUGUGUUCUGCUGUCUGUGCUGUGGUGCGUGCCACGGGCCCUUUGAGACCCUCCAAAACUCUGGCCCGUGGGCAGGGCUGUAAUCAUCUGGUUUCCCGGGAAUGGACAGGGCAGAGCAUUUAUUUACCGUCUUUCAAAUUCUUUUCUCUUUCCCACACCCUUCUUUGUUGUCGGCUGCCCAGGGAUUAAUUGCCCUUUUUUGUACGGUAACUGAGACAUGGAGAUGAUAAGGAAGCAACAGAUUUUAUAGCCACUUCCAAAGCCAGGGCCGGAAUCUGUGUAAGCGCUGCCUUGUGGCCGGCAGCCAUCAGUAAGGCCUCACAUUGGUGCACUGAAUCACCUCUGCCUGGUCACCGCUCUGCCUGGGGAGGGUCAUCUGACACCUCCUCCAGGAAUCCAAGUCUCUACCCUUUGAAAGCUCGGGUUUUUCUUGUAUGUACAAUAAAUUACAGCGCUGGCUUAAAAAAUAUCCAAGAAAAAAAAUUGUAUCAGAUGCUGUUGAAACUACUUAACAAAGAAAGACAGUUGGUACUCAGACUGUGAUUUAGUACUUGGAAGGCAAAGAUUGUGACCACUGAUUAAUUUUAAGUACUUCUGUACAGACCGUGGAAAACAGGCUGAAGCUCAACAGAUUUCAUUAGGAGUCAUUAGCUGCUUGAAGUGAACAUGCUUCGGGAAUUGCAUUGUGGGCUGGAAAUGGAAUUCCCACUCAAGAAUAUUUGUUUUCCGUGCAUAAACAUCAGUAGGUGUUUUGGAGAGUUGCCAGCUAUUCUUUCCUUUCCUCAUUUCAAGGGUUAUGAAAUUACAGACACCAGUGAACCUCUGACACAAACCCCAGAUCCUGUCUCUUUGGAAGCAGGUCAUGGGCGUCUGGGGGUAAACGGACUGAAACUUUGGGUCAGUUUGAUUGUAUGUGAUGGGAAUUAGGUGAUGGACACUAAUGUUUUUGUGAACAUUCUCUGGUAAAGGAAGAGAAAGAAAAAAAUUGCACAUGGCAUGUUUAAAAUUCCUUCCUGAAUUGAGUGCUCCGUAUAUAAAUGGCUACUGUGAGAGAAAGCAAGUGCUCGGGAAAUAAAUUAUAAACGGCGUGCCUUAUUUUAAAAUCAUCCAAGAUGUCAGCCUUUCUUUUAUCUGGUGGAAGAUCACUUGUUCAUCACACGUACUUGAUUUAGUUACAUUUCAAGCAGUUAUUAUCAGCUACUACCCCCCUCAAGUCAAGCACCUGUGCUUUUUUACAUGUCACCACAUAAUUGGCAACAGGUAGUAGCUGAUGGAGCCUAUGGAACAAGCUGGGCAGAAGGAAAGCCAGGGACCUCGGGGGCCUUGGUGUGGAUGCUUAUCCAUUAGGGUGUCGGGCAGGAGAAGGGUUCACGGGACUGUUGGGUGUCAGUCAUCAGCAGAUGCCAGGAUUUUGUUUGAAGCCACCAUCUCUGCAUCACGGAACAGUGGGCUGUUUCAGGGGCCUGACCUCUGGUGUUCCCUCGUCCCCACUUAACAGUCCACUCCUAUCCAGGGAUGCGAUGGAAAAAGCAAAGGACUAGGAGAGGGGGAAUGGAGGAUGGAUGGGCUUGCUUCCUGGUUUGUGCAAAAGUCCUGACCAUGACUCAAGGGCGAUAGCUCAGAUUCAAACCUUAGCCUGUAGUGUCACAUGUUAACAGUGCCUUCCUCGGAAACGGGCGCAGGCUUAACAGUGGCGAGCAACCUCAUUAAAAGAAUCUGCAGAGAAAGUGCAGAAAGAGGAAACUGAGUCUGAAUUAACAAUUAACAAGUUUCUUAUUGAAGUGCAUUACCAUCUGCAGAAGGCAGUGGCGUCCCGACUUUUCUUUCUCAGAGUCAAAAGGAAAGGUGAAACAUCAAAAAUGGCGGGAGGAAAGUUUCAGAACACAAGGUCAUUUUAAUUCAUAGUUUCCUUAGAAGAACUAUCUCUUCUCAGCUUUCAUAUUUUGUUCAGAAAGGUCGUCUCUUUUAAGCCUUGUCAUUAAAGACGGUUUGCUCUUUAAAGUGAAUUAUCAAAGGGUGCAGAAAUUGCAAGUUACUGAAACUAAAAUGCAUGAUCAAUUUUAAGUCUGCUAACUAAAGCUUACUUAAAAUUGGAUGUGCUUUUGCCCUGGCAGCCCCUUUGAUAAAACCAGAAAAAGAUAUGUGGUUGGUCAAUUCAAAGUAGGAAAAGAAGAUAAUUAGAUAAAACUUUUGUCAACUAUUGAAGUAGGCUCUUGGAUUUGGAGACUUGAUUAGGAAGUCGUAGCAUAGGCUGUGAUAGUAGUUGAAAAGUAAAAAUUGAAGAUCCCAGAUUCUGACCUGUAUUAACAUUCUUCAGUAUAGUUUUAAAAACCGAAUCAAACUUCAGAUCAUAUUAUUUACUUCUCACAUGGGAAAAGAAAAAUGGAAUUUGAAACAUAAGCUUGAAGGAAUUUUAAAAUCUGGAUCCCUCACCAAGGUCUAGUUCAGCUGGACACCCAUUCUUCUAGACAUUGAAGCUUUAAGCAAGGAUUUCCAUCAGGCAAAUGUUUUAAAAUCAAAGGCCCAAGAUGUUACUAGAGAUUCUGCUGGUUUUAGAACUGAGCUCAGUCUAGAUGUCAGGCUAAUAAAUACGCUUAUAUCCUCUUUGGGAGUCUACUGUUUAAGCGAGGUCUUAAUGGAAAACAGCUAGCUGGACACAAAGACUUCAUCAUGAAGCAAAAUGAGAGGGCUCCCUAGUGAGAAGCCUGGCAUAUCUAAUUAGCUAAAAACGGGGCUAGAGGAGUGAAGCCAUUCGUCCACACCCCUUCACUUCCACCAGAAGGGGAAUCAGUUCAUAGGUGGAGUCUACUCACUAGCUUUGUUUCCCUAGAUGAUUGUCCACCUCCUGGGGCUGCACUCUCUAAUCGAGCUCAUAAAGGGCACAACCAGACCAAUACUUCCUAACCUGUACCGCUUCAUCCUCUAAUUCGGUGUGUCUCAAACUCACACUCCGUCAAGUGCUGUUCUGUAUGAUUUGUCUUCAGACACUCCGACGUCCCGUUUAGGAAAUGUGACAGGCUAUAGCCCCCUCUGCAAGAUUCGCAUUUACAUCAUGGCCCAGUCGUUCAUUCAGUAAAUAGCUGUUGGUCACCUGUUAUGUGCUGGACAGCUCAUCCACCACCUGGAACCCAGGGCUUAAAACACUCAUUUAUUAUCACCACGCUCACUGCUGAGAGUUGACUGGGCUCAGCGAGGCUGUCUCGGCCAGAUGUGGCUACAGUCGUGGAAGGCUUCCCGGGCUCAAACCCAUGGUGGUCCACUUGGCACGGCAGCUGUGAGGAGCCCUCAAGAGCAAGCCCACCGAGAGACCAACCACAGAAGCCACCAGCCAAAUAAAGUCCAGGCCCAGAAAUUAGCAUUGUGUCGCACCUACUAAUUUUUGUCAAAGACAGAGGCCACCAGAGAGACCUCAGCAAGGUCAGAGAUUCUAUGGCCAUCUCUUUGGUAAAGAAACCUAUCUAGGAGUUCCCGUCGUGGCGCAGUGGUUAACGAAUCCGACUAGGAACCAUGAGGUUGCGGGUUCGGUCCCUGGCCUUGCUCAGUGGGUUAACGAUCCGGCAUUGCCGUGAGCUGUGGUUUAGGUUGCAGCCGUGGCUCGGAUCCCGCGUUGCUGCGGCUCUGGCGUAGGCCGGUGGCUACAGCUCCGAUUCGACCCCUAGCCUGGGAACCUCCAUAUGCCUUGGGAGCGGCCCAAGAAAUGGCAAAAAGACAAAAAAAAAAAAAAAAAAAAAA
Molecule: long non-coding RNA, 5192 nt
Filed under: Sus scrofa (pig)
Lineage: Eukaryota; Metazoa; Chordata; Mammalia; Artiodactyla; Suidae
Description: lncRNA (ENSSSCG00045018898.1)
Source: RNAcentral